CAGUAGCCACGGUAAAACGAAGGGGGCUAGCGUUGCUCGGAAUGACUGGGCGUAAAGGGCGCGUAGGCGGUUUUGACAGUCAGAUGUGAAAUUCCUGGGCUUAACCUGGGGGCUGCAUUUGAGACGUCAAGACUAGAGUGUGAGAGAGGGCUGUGGAAUUCCGAGUGUAGAGGUGAAAUUCGUAGAUAUUCGGAAGAACACCAGUGGCGAAGGCGGCUUACUGGCUCAUUCUAGACGCUGAGGUGCGAAAGCGUGGGGAGCAAACAGGAUUAGAUACCCCUGUAGUCCCUGUCUCUUAUAC
RNAcentral lists this ribosomal RNA (301 nucleotides) under uncultured bacterium. Its description in RNAcentral is "partial 16S ribosomal RNA". It matches the Rfam family "Bacterial small subunit ribosomal RNA", at positions 509 to 807 of the family's 1533-position model. The record is from RNAcentral.